ACCAGAGAUUCCUUUGAUUCAGUCAGGAGAAAGCACCAGUGAUUCCAGGACCAACGGAAGAAGUCUUCACUGAUCCAUUUAUGAGGACAAGAUGGGGUUCAAUUUGGAAAAGAGGCUCUGGUGGGAAGCCCUGGCAACCCUCUGGGCCCCAGUUUCUUCCUCUGGAACAAAAAAGAGAGAGAACAUGACCAUGACCAUGACAGAGUGCCUCUCAGCUCAGGCCUGCCGUCCUGCCCUGGCACCUGGAAGUUAUAUCUCACACAGCCGCCACUGG
This 274-nucleotide long non-coding RNA is filed under the name Mustela putorius furo (domestic ferret). RNAcentral's name for it is "lncRNA (ENSMPUG00000029328.1)". The record is from RNAcentral. Lineage: Eukaryota; Metazoa; Chordata; Mammalia; Carnivora; Mustelidae.